GCCAGGUGUGGUGGCGUACACCUGUAAUCCCAGCGGCUCAGGAGACCGAGAAAGGAGGAUCACAAGUUCAAAGCCAGCCUCUACAACAGCAAGGUGCUAAGAAACUCAGUGAGAUCCUGUCUUUA
RNAcentral lists this small RNA (125 nucleotides) under Marmota monax (woodchuck). The record is from RNAcentral. Lineage: Eukaryota; Metazoa; Chordata; Mammalia; Rodentia; Sciuridae.